GGGUCAGUAGGUUGGUCGUGCCACCGGUACGUACUGGUCUCACUGAUUCCUCCUUCCUGAAGAACCGUAAUGCCAUUAAUUUGGUGUUGCGGGGAGACAGGACUGUUGCUUUGAAAAAAUUAGAGUGUUUAAAGCAAGCUAACGCUUGAAUACAUUAGCAUGGAAUAAUGAAAUAGGACGAUCGAUCCUAUUUUGUUGGUUUCUAGGAUUGACGUA
This 216-nucleotide ribosomal RNA is filed under the name Glomeromycotina sp. Its description in RNAcentral is "partial small subunit ribosomal RNA". The stretch from base 40 to 216 matches the Rfam family "Eukaryotic small subunit ribosomal RNA", at positions 686 to 864 of the family's 1831-position model. Lineage: Eukaryota; Fungi; Glomeromycota. The record is from RNAcentral.